Molecule: ribosomal RNA, 481 nt
Filed under: Meloidogyne hapla
Lineage: Eukaryota; Metazoa; Nematoda; Chromadorea; Rhabditida; Meloidogynidae
Description: partial 28S ribosomal RNA
Rfam family: Eukaryotic large subunit ribosomal RNA
Source: RNAcentral
GGGGGUAUCUAAGAUGGAUUUGCAACCAAUGUUUUGAGGCCAGCUUGCUGGUACCCAAACAUUGUUAACAUUUUUUAUCUUGGAUAUUCGAGUACGGCUUACGUGCAUUUUUUGUAUUGAUCUAAGUGCAAGUUACGGUCGCAUGCGACACGUGCUUUUCAUUUAGUUCGGUGCAGUUAAUGCUCUCGUACUCUCCCCCCAUGUAAAAGCCGGUCAUCUAUUUGACCCGUCUUGAAACACGGACCAAGGAGUUUAUCGUGUGCGCAAGUUUUUGGGUGUUAAAAACCUAGAAGCGAAAUGAAAGUAAAUGAUUCUUUAGAGUCUGAUGUGCAAUCUUUUUUCAAAAAAGUGCAUCAUGGCCCCAUUCUAACUGUUUACAGUAGGGUGGCGGAAGAGCGUACGCGGUGAGACCCGAAAGAUGGUGAACUAUUCCUGAGCAGGACGAAGCCAGAGGAAACUCUGGUGGAAGUCCGAAGCGGUU